Molecule: non-coding RNA, 103 nt
Organism: Mycena metata
Lineage: Eukaryota; Fungi; Basidiomycota; Agaricomycetes; Agaricales; Mycenaceae
Source: the annotation of a GenBank genome assembly
GGGCAAAUAGUGUAGUUGGUUAUCGCGCCCGCUUCGCAGAUCUUGCGUAAUCAACCCAAGACGGCAAUGCGGGAGGUGCUGGGUUCAAUUCCCAGUUUGUCCA